This is a long non-coding RNA of Octopus sinensis (East Asian common octopus), 399 nucleotides long. RefSeq lists it as uncharacterized. The record is from RefSeq and is a predicted model, not a curated record. Lineage: Eukaryota; Metazoa; Mollusca; Cephalopoda; Octopoda; Octopodidae. The transcript is spliced from 4 exons.
AGUCCAUUUACUUCAAAAUUCGUCCAAGACCGGUUAGCACAUGUUGAAAAAAAUUUUGGUGACCUCUGUGUGUCUUUUAAUUCUUAUACUAGAAAAACUGCAAGAAUCCGGGACAAAGGUGAUGAAAUAUCGCAGCUGAUUGUCAAAUACGUAGACAAAGAAACCUUGAACCCCUCUUCCAAGAAAUGUCUCACGACUUUUGCCGAGAAUUUGUCCACAAUUCAAGAUUAUCGGCAGGCUGAGGUGCAACGCCUUGAUGCCAAUGUCUUGAGACUUCUCUCUGAUUAUGGGCCCAAGUGUAAACAAAAGAAGAAUGAAUUAAAGACUUCAUUCGCAGCUCAAGAGCGUGAAGGAAAGAAAAGACAAGAGAUGAACAAAUUACUCCUUCGAUGUCCCACC